RNAcentral lists this ribosomal RNA (401 nucleotides) under uncultured bacterium. RNAcentral describes it as "bacterial SSU rRNA". It matches the Rfam family "Bacterial small subunit ribosomal RNA", at positions 29 to 417 of the family's 1533-position model. The record is from RNAcentral.
AAUCAACGCUGGCGGCGUGCCUAACACAUGCAAGUCGAACGCGAAAACCUCGCAAGGGGUGAGUAGAGUGGCAAACGGGUGAGUAACACGUGGGUGACCUGCCUUCGAGUGGGGGAUAACGUCCCGAAAGGGACGCUAAUACCGCAUAACAUCCUGCCUUUUAAGAGGUGGACAUCAAAGCUGGGGAUCGCAAGACCUAGCGCUGGAAGAGGGGCCCGCGCCUGAUUAGCUAGUUGGGGGGUAAUGGCUCACCAAGGCAACGAUCAGUAUCCGGCCUGAGAGGGCGGACGGACACACUGGGACUGAGACACGGCCCAGACUCCUACGGGAGGCAGCAGUGGGGAAUUGUUCGCAAUGGGCGCAAGCCUGACGACGCAACGCCGCGUGGAGGAUGAAGACCU